RNAcentral lists this ribosomal RNA (469 nucleotides) under Shigella flexneri. Its description in RNAcentral is "partial 23S ribosomal RNA". It matches the Rfam family "Bacterial large subunit ribosomal RNA", at positions 2434 to 2897 of the family's 2925-position model. Lineage: Bacteria; Pseudomonadati; Pseudomonadota; Gammaproteobacteria; Enterobacterales; Enterobacteriaceae. The record is from RNAcentral.
UGGAAGGGCCAUCGCUCAACGGAUAAAAGGUACUCCGGGGAUAACAGGCUGAUACCGCCCAAGAGUUCAUAUCGACGGCGGUGUUUGGCACCUCGAUGUCGGCUCAUCACAUCCUGGGGCUGAAGUAGGUCCCAAGGGUAUGGCUGUUCGCCAUUUAAAGUGGUACGCGAGCUGGGUUUAGAACGUCGUGAGACAGUUCGGUCCCUAUCUGCCGUGGGCGCUGGAGAACUGAGGGGGGCUGCUCCUAGUACGAGAGGACCGGAGUGGACGCAUCACUGGUGUUCGGGUUGUCAUGCCAAUGGCACUGCCCGGUAGCUAAAUGCGGAAGAGAUAAGUGCUGAAAGCAUCUAAGCACGAAACUUGCCCCGAGAUGAGUUCUCCCUGACCCUUUAAGGGUCCUGAAGGAACGUUGAAGACGACGACGUUGAUAGGCCGGGUGUGUAAGCGCAGCGAUGCGUUGAGCUAACCG